Long non-coding RNA from Mya arenaria, 714 nucleotides. RefSeq lists it as uncharacterized. The record is from RefSeq and is a predicted model, not a curated record. NCBI's taxonomy places the organism in Eukaryota, Metazoa, Mollusca, Bivalvia, Myida, Myidae. The transcript has 3 exons.
AUGGGACAAUUGGUUUCAUAUACAAGUUGUUAUUAUUACCUGUGAUUAAAAUUAUUCUUAUUUAAGCGGAAAUGUAUGUUUAUGAUGUUGAAUAUGGAAAUGCAUCACCUCAUUAAUACUACGACUUACAUUCAAGACUUUGCAAACGUAUUUUACAUGAGUUGGAAUGCUUCAUAAGGAAUUAACAUGAAUUCAACACCAAUGAUACAAAAUGACACCAUGUCAACAACCGUGACAAACCUUGCCACCACACACAACUAUACAGACGAUCCUGUGUUUGUGACACUGCGCCUGCUUGUAUUCCUAUCUGUGGUCGUGUUAUUCUUUGCUCUGGGUCUAGGCUGCUAUAGAAUUCGACAACGUUGUUCCAAGGAUGACUACCGCUUUCUCGACGUCAUUUAACUUUGUUAGCGUCUGGACAAAUACGGCUUUAGUUGUUGAAAGUAUGGUAUUUGUCGUCGUUUACGUGAAUGAGAUUAACUAUCUAGCUCGCAAACGGGCUUAAGCAUGUUGGAGCAAGUGUAAAAUCGUUGGACAUCGAAUCACCGUGAGAAAGGAAGAUGUUGACUAUUCACAGAGAAUAAUGAUACUGCUCUGUGCGUUCAUUGUAAAACGUGAGGGGAAAAUAUACUUUUGGCAAUUAUUAACAGUGCAAACAUUCUUUCAAAAGCUUUUAUCAUGUAAAAUAUAUGUGAUUAAAUGCUCGUAAAUCGA